AUGCAGCUCAUGUGGAAUGGCGGGCAGCCUGCUAACGUCAGAGUGACCCUGGAAGAUAAAUCAGAGAUGAAUAUCACUGCCUGGAAUGCUUGUAUGACACUCUCUUCAGGUCAGCUUCAGAGAGUAUUAAGUAUGGGACACUUUAAUGCAUGUGGAUCUCUAGAACAAACAGCAGUGUUGUUUAAUGAAUAUCUUGAUCUGAACUGGGAUGACAAAAAAUUCAAACACAAUUUGACUUACGAGAGAAAUAGAUUCUUGUAUCCUGAUAAAUUUCAGUUAGAAGCCACUUUGGAAAACAUUUUCCUGACUUCGUGCACUAAACAGAAUAUUCUGGGUAAAAUAGAAACAAACUACUCAUCCUGGCUGGACUAUUAUAUUAACUUUGGAUUCUGCGACCUCCCAACUGUAAUUGCUUUAUCUGGAAAACAUCAGCUCAACAAAGGAGAUACUAUUUUGCAGUCAGAGAGCAGAUUCCACCUUGCUGAUCAUGGAAGAGAUGAUGGGUUGAUUGGAGUAUCCUUAAAAAAUAAGAGCACAGCUGAUAUGAAGAACUAUUAUGUGGAGAUUGAAUUAAAAGCCUUUGAAGAUAUUUGGCUAGGCCUGACAGGAACAACUACUUCCUCAGCUGUUCGGAGCCAAAUCCUGGUGGAGGGGAUUAUUGAUCAGAAAGAGAAAGUAAAAGUAGCUGCUUCUAAAGGAAAGGAAUGUCUUCAGUACUACAUGGGGUAUUUGAAAGGGGAUUUGGAGGAGGGAAUAGAAGUCAGUGCUUGUACCGAUGGGCAACAGAUGGCUACUGUUAAUACCUAUCUCAACAUUAAUGGUGAAAGGCAAGAAAAAAUGGGACAACUGAUGCUAACAGCUGUUAAUGAAAGCUUGAGUUUCUUGGCUCAUGGAUGUGGGGAUCCAAUUCUUAAGGCUGAGUACAAACUUAAUGAAAUUGGGAGUCUUCUAAAAGCCAAACUGGUGGAAAAGAUGAAGAAGUUUGAUGGAUAUAUUUGGAGACUCAGAAGAUCAAUGCAGCAAGUUGAUUUCCUGUCUGAAGCAGCUGGCUGGCCUUCGAUAGCCUUGCAAGAAGCAGCAGGAUUCCUCCACAGUGUGGGUAGAGCUGUCGCCCAGGUGUGGAAGCAGAGUGGAAUCAGGCAGAUACUGAGAAGCAAGCUCCCACUUUACCUGGAUAAAAUUCAAGACAUUAUCCAGCAAAUGCAGAAUGAAUUGCAAAAGCCAUUAGCAACUUUGAAGGAUGCCUACUACGAUGUAACCUUGAAGCCAUUGGAUGAGGUUUGGCUUGAGAAAACAGAAGAGUACAUGAAGAAAGUCCAGGCUUUUGUGCCCAGGAUUGUGAAAGAUGUUUGGCUAAUGGAACCAAUCCAGGUGGCAAUACGGGUUGUGAAAACAGGCCUGGAUAUGGUGAGUACACAUCAUGUUUUCAUUUUUAAUGGUUUAAAGGAAAAGUUCUACAAAUUCAAGUCUCAGCUGUGA
This 1479-nucleotide long non-coding RNA is filed under the name Apteryx haastii (Great spotted kiwi). RNAcentral describes it as "lncRNA (ENSAHAG00000017982.1)". Lineage: Eukaryota; Metazoa; Chordata; Aves; Apterygiformes; Apterygidae. The record is from RNAcentral.